CAAGCGUCGAGCGGCGGACGGGUGAGUAAUACUUAGGAAUCUACCUAGUAGUGGGGGAUAGCACGGGGAAACUCGUAUUAAUACCGCAUACGACCUACGGGAGAAAGGGGGCAGUUUACUGCUCUCGCUAUUAGAUGAGCCUAAGUCGGAUUAGCUAGAUGGUGGGGUAAAGGCCUACCAUGGCGACGAUCUGUAGCUGGUCUGAGAGGAUGAUCAGCCACACCGGGACUGAGACACGGCCCGGACUCCUACGGGAGGCAGCAGUGGGGAAUAUUGGACAAUGGGGGAAACCCUGAUCCAGCCAUGCCGCGUGUGUGAAGAAGGCCUUUUGGUUGUAAAGCACUUUAAGCAGUGAAGAAGACUCCUCGGUUAAUACCCGUGGACGAUGACAUUAGCUGCAGAAUAAGCACCGGCUAACUCUGUGCCAGCAGCCGCGGUAAUACAGAGGGUGCAAGCGUUAAUCGGAAUUACUGGGCGUAAAGGGAGCGUAGGUGGCUCGAUAAGUCAGAUGUGAAAUCCCCGGGCUCAACCUGGGAACUGCAUCUGAUACUGUUGAGCUAGAGUAUGUGAGAGGAAGGUAGAAUUCCAGGUGUAGCGGUGAAAUGCGUAGAGAUCUGGAGGAAUACCGAUGGCGAAGGCAGCCUUCUGGCAUAAUACUGACACUGAGGCUCGAAAGCGUGGGUAGCAAACAGGAUUAGAUACCCUGGUAGUCCACGCCGUAAACGAUGUCUACUAGUCGUUGGGUCCCUUGAGGACUUAGUGACGCAGCUAACGCAAUAAGUAGACCGCCUGGGGAGUACGGCCGCAAGGUUAAAACUCAAAUGAAUUGACGGGGGCCCGCACAAGCGGUGGAGCAUGUGGUUUAAUUCGAUGCAACGCGAAGAACCUUACCUGGUCUUGACAUAUCUAGAAUCCUGCAGAGAUGCGGGAGUGCCUUCGGGAAUUAGAAUACAGGUGCUGCAUGGCUGUCGUCAGCUCGUGUCGUGAGAUGUUGGGUUAAGUCCCGCAACGAGCGCAACCCUUGUCCUUAGUUACCAGCGGGUUAAGCCGGGAACUCUAAGGAUACUGCCAGUGACAAACUGGAGGAAGGCGGGGACGACGUCAAGUCAUCAUGGCCCUUACGACCAGGGCUACACACGUGCUACAAUGGUAGGUACAGAGGGCAGCUACACAGCGAUGUGAUGCGAAUCUCAAAAAGCCUAUCGUAGUCCAGAUUGGAGUCUGCAACUCGACUCCAUGAAGUAGGAAUCGCUAGUAAUCGCGGCAUCA
This 1269-nucleotide ribosomal RNA is filed under the name Psychrobacter sp. BA23. RNAcentral describes it as "bacterial SSU rRNA". It matches the Rfam family "Bacterial small subunit ribosomal RNA", at positions 85 to 1351 of the family's 1533-position model. Lineage: Bacteria; Pseudomonadati; Pseudomonadota; Gammaproteobacteria; Moraxellales; Moraxellaceae. The record is from RNAcentral.